This 459-nucleotide ribosomal RNA is filed under the name uncultured Streptococcus sp. RNAcentral describes it as "bacterial SSU rRNA". It matches the Rfam family "Bacterial small subunit ribosomal RNA", at positions 921 to 1382 of the family's 1533-position model. Lineage: Bacteria; Bacillati; Bacillota; Bacilli; Lactobacillales; Streptococcaceae. The record is from RNAcentral.
CCGCACAAGCGGUGAAGCAUUGUGGUUAAUUCGAAGCAACGCGAAGAACCUUACCAGGUCUUGACAUCCCGAUGCUAUUUCUAGAGAUAGAAAGUUACUUCGGUACAUCGGUGACAGGUGGUGCAUGGUUGUCGUCAGCUCGUGUCGUGAAAUGUUGGGUUAAGUCCCGCAACGAGCGCAACCCCUAUUGUUAGUUGCCAUCAUUCAGUUGGGCACUCUAGCGAGACUGCCGGUAAUAAACCGGAGGAAGUGGGGAUGACGUCAAAUCAUCAUGCCCCUUAUGACCUGGGCUACACACGUGCUACAAUGGUUGGUACAACGAGUUGCGAGUCGGUGACGGCGAGCUAAUCUCUUAAAGCCAAUCUCAGUUCGGAUUGUAGGCUGCAACUCGCCUACAUGAAGUCGGAAUCGCUAGUAAUCGCGGAUCAGCACGCCGCGGUGAAUACGUUCCCGGGCCUU